RNAcentral lists this ribosomal RNA (253 nucleotides) under uncultured bacterium. Its description in RNAcentral is "partial 16S ribosomal RNA". It matches the Rfam family "Bacterial small subunit ribosomal RNA", at positions 524 to 776 of the family's 1533-position model. The record is from RNAcentral.
UACGGGGGGGGCAAGCGUUGUUCGGAAUUACUGGGCGUAAAGGGUGCGUAGGCGGCUCGCUAAGUUAGAUGUGAAAACUCUGGGCUCAACCCAGAGCCUGCAUCUAAAACUGGCGGGCUAGAGUUCUGGAGGGGGUAGCGGAAUUCCUGGUGUAGCGGUGAAAUGCGUAGAUAUCAGGAGGAACACCGAUGGCGAAGGCAGCUGCCUGGCCUAACACUGACGCUGAGGUGCGAAAGCGUGGGGAGCGAACGGG